Molecule: long non-coding RNA, 868 nt
Organism: Vicugna pacos (alpaca)
Lineage: Eukaryota; Metazoa; Chordata; Mammalia; Artiodactyla; Camelidae
Source: RefSeq, a predicted model, not a curated record
CUUAGCGCGGCGGGCGCAGACUGAGCUGGACCAGUGGGCGAUGCCGGAUUGAAAGCAGGGCAUGGGGGGGCUUUAGGGGCAGGGGGGCGAGUACUCCGCGCGACCGCUGUUCUGGAGCUGAGCCACGAAGCAGCCACCUACCGGCGUCUUCUCAGCUUCCUCGGUGUUUUCUAGGACGUUCCAAUGCUGCCAGGGGGCGCAGGCCUGAAGCAGGGCCACAGGAGAGUGGGGAAAGGGCGGAACUCGGGUUCCCCCCUCCACGUGUCCCUACCCGGGUCUGCUCCCUGAGCCCUGUCGUGUAAUAACACCCACCACAAUGUUGUCUCUCCAACUGACGACCGACGCCCCCAGUCCUUGCCCAGCCUUGAAGGACUCACUGAGGUCGAAGACCAGCGGGUUGCAUUGGCCGCCCUCGGCCUUCCAGGGGCACAGGAAAACGCCGCCCGUCUUCUCCUGGCUGCGGCCCUCGGCCCUUGGGGCACCCACCACGAUGGACACGCUGCAUAAGAAAGCGGGGCAUGCGGCAUGCUUAUUAAGUCAUUCCCAAAACCAGUAUCUGUGGAAAAGAGGUGAAAGAAGCAGGAGUGGGCAGAGGAGAGAGUCAAGUUGAGAUUCAGGCCCAAUGACAGCCAUGGGCCAAUGGCCUGGGAACUCUGGAGCUAAAAAGACCCUUCAGAACUGUCCUGAGGUCCCCAGUGGUGCCCCUCGCUGAUACCCUCACCUGAGCUGAUCCCUCCCCAGAAUUCCUAACAAGAACUCAGCAGGAAUAGAUCCUAGAAGUCACUUUGCUCAACCUCUAUCACAAGGGGAACUUGAGACCCACAAAGGCAGUGAUGGUGGGGGAGUUCCUCCAGGGCUCACCUCCCAU